GAUGAAGAACGUAGUGAAAUGCGAUAAGUAAUGUGAAUUGCAGAAUUCAGUGAAUCAUCGAAUCUUUGAACGCACAUUGCGCCCGCCAGUAUUCUGGCGGGCAUGCCUGUUCGAGCGUCAUUUCAACCAUCAAGCCCCAGGCUUGUGUUGGGGACCUGCGGCUGCCGCAGGCCCUGAAAACCAGUGGCGGGCUCGCUGUCACACCGGGCGUAGUAGAUUUUAUCUCGCUCAGGGCGUGCUGCGGGUUCCGGCCGUUAAAAAGCCUUUUUUACCCAAGGUUGACCUCGGAUCAGGUAGGAAGACCCGCUGAACUUAAGCAUAUCAAUAGCGGAGGA
This 335-nucleotide unclassified non-coding RNA is filed under the name soil metagenome. Its description in RNAcentral is "partial contains 5.8S ribosomal RNA, internal transcribed spacer 2, and large subunit ribosomal RNA". The stretch from base 1 to 120 matches the Rfam family "5.8S ribosomal RNA", at positions 35 to 154 of the family's 154-position model. The record is from RNAcentral.